UAGGAUGAGUAAUGGUGAAGGCAAAGGCU
RNAcentral lists this non-coding RNA (29 nucleotides) under Homo sapiens (human). The record is from RNAcentral. Lineage: Eukaryota; Metazoa; Chordata; Mammalia; Primates; Hominidae.